GAGAUAUAGCUCAGUUGGGAGAGCAUUUGCUUGACGUGCAAAGGGUCACAGGUUCGAGUCCUGCUAUCUCC
This 71-nucleotide transfer RNA is filed under the name chicken gut metagenome. It matches the Rfam family "tRNA". From Rfam's summary of the family: Transfer RNA (tRNA) molecules are approximately 80 nucleotides in length. Their secondary structure includes four short double-helical elements and three loops (D, anti-codon, and T loops). Further hydrogen bonds mediate the characteristic L-shaped molecular structure. tRNAs have two regions of fundamental functional importance: the anti-codon, which is responsible for specific mRNA codon recognition, and the 3' end, to which the tRNAs corresponding amino acid is attached (by aminoacyl-tRNA synthetases). tRNAs cope with the degeneracy of the genetic code in two manners: having more than one tRNA (with a specific anti-codon) for a particular amino acid; and 'wobble' base-pairing, i.e. permitting non-standard base-pairing at the 3rd anti-codon position. The record is from RNAcentral.